This 708-nucleotide long non-coding RNA is filed under the name Equus caballus (horse). RNAcentral describes it as "lncRNA (ENSECAG00000051306.1)". The record is from RNAcentral. Lineage: Eukaryota; Metazoa; Chordata; Mammalia; Perissodactyla; Equidae.
UACAAUGGCUGCUGGUACAGUUUGCUGCUACUGCCUUGGUUUGGGCUAAGGCAUCAAUAAUUUACCACUGCUUUUGUACCCUCAGUGCCAAUGCCAACACAGUGAACAAGAGAAAUGACAUCUUGGAAUUAUAAUGAAAAUAGUUUUGAUCUCACAGACCCCCUGAAAGGAACUUCAAGACUUCCAGAGGUCCACGGACCACACUUUGAGAAAUGACACACUCUGACCUCAAUUCAGCUGGACCUACAGAAACUUGCUCAUUCCCAAGGACCAAUAAGCCCUCAAGGUGCUGGUACUGGUGAUGAUGAUGAUGAUGAUGACGGCGAUGAUGUCUCCCACGUACUGAGCUGAAUGUGUGGCUGGUCUCGUUUGAUCACGCCACAUGAACCGUCUCUUUUGAUUCCCACAACAAUCCUAUGAGAUCGACUUUAUGAUUUUCCUUUCACAGAUGGGAAAGCAAGUUUGCUGUACCCAAGACCAUCCAGCUGGGAAGCUGGAGACCUGUGAACGCGAUCUCCUCGGCUCUCCUGAACAACCUACUGGGGGCAUGAAAGCAGCAGGACUGGUCUUGGGAGAAGCUUGUCCACCAGGUCCUGAAGCCGGAGGAUGUUCUUGCGGUCCUCCUCGGCCUGCAAACACAGCACCCGUGCAGGGCCCAAACCCACUGCGGCUUCCGAUGGGGUCUGAGCAGCAAAGCGCUUGGGGAGG